This 485-nucleotide ribosomal RNA is filed under the name uncultured organism. Its description in RNAcentral is "bacterial SSU rRNA". It matches the Rfam family "Bacterial small subunit ribosomal RNA", at positions 28 to 507 of the family's 1533-position model. The record is from RNAcentral.
GAUGAACGCUAGCGACAGGCUUAACACAUGCAAGUCGAGGGGCAUCAUGAGGUAGCAAUACCUUGAUGGCGACCGGCGCACGGGUGAGUAACGCGUAUGCAACCUGCCUGAUACCGGGGUAUAGCCCAUGGAAACGUGGAUUAACACCCCAUAGUACUUUUAUCCUGCAUGGGAUGUGAGUUAAAUGUUUAAGGUAUCGGAUGGGCAUGCGUCCUAUUAGUUAGUUGGCGGGGUAACAGCCCACCAAGACGAUGAUAGGUAGGGGUUCUGAGAGGAAGGUCCCCCACAUUGGAACUGAGACACGGUCCAAACUCCUACGGGAGGCAGCAGUGAGGAAUAUUGGUCAAUGGACGAGAGUCUGAACCAGCCAAGUCGCGUGAGGGAAGACUGCCCUAUGGGUUGUAAACCUCUUUUAUAAGGGAAGAAUAAGUUCUACGUGUAGAAUGAUGCCUGUACCUUAUGAAUAAGCAUCGGCUAACUCCGUG